Molecule: long non-coding RNA, 641 nt
Organism: Helicoverpa armigera (cotton bollworm)
Lineage: Eukaryota; Metazoa; Arthropoda; Insecta; Lepidoptera; Noctuidae
Exons: 3
Source: RefSeq, a predicted model, not a curated record
GUUGCCAGACCGUACCAAAAAGUACGGUUUUCCGUACUAUUCAUCACACAACCGUACCACAACCGUACCUCAGUGUAGACCGUACCUUUUUCGUACCUUUUCUAUAUUAGUGAUUUAUUUUUUACUGCAAACUACAAAGGGAGCGAUGAAUUAAAAAAAAAAACAGAGCAAACAGAAUAUAGUCUGCGGGACUAUCGCCGUUCGCCGAUGUCUAUAGUCAGUCUGGAACCGAGAUCGAACUAAAGAUAACUCAUUCUCACAAGUAUGUACGACGUGUGACGAAACAAUACGAAUCUAUAGACGGAAGAAAAGUUAAGUCAAGGUGUUGGGAAAUGGACAGAUUUAUAACGAAGCGAAAACGUGACCCUCCUGAUAAUAAUAGCUCUCAAAAUAGUAACCAGCCUACUAAACCUGGUCAUUCAACUAAGAAGAAAUGUUUAAGUCCUAGUAUCCCUGGCCCUUCAUGUACUGAUGCACUAAUAAUAAUAAAACCUACCCAGCCACAAGAAUCAAAUCCUUCCAACGACUUCAGUUUGCUAGACGAAUCAAAUCUAUCUAACAAAAAAAAACCACAAGCCUUACUUGAUACUUGUAACGAAAAUGAAGAAAUCCAGAUAGCAACAAGUAAUGAAGAGCAUAAA